This 207-nucleotide ribosomal RNA is filed under the name uncultured Piscirickettsiaceae bacterium. Its description in RNAcentral is "partial 16S ribosomal RNA". It matches the Rfam family "Bacterial small subunit ribosomal RNA", at positions 568 to 774 of the family's 1533-position model. Lineage: Bacteria; Pseudomonadati; Pseudomonadota; Gammaproteobacteria; Thiotrichales; Piscirickettsiaceae. The record is from RNAcentral.
CGCGUAGGUGGAUGUUUAAGUCGGAUGUGAAAGCCCCGGGCUUAACCUGGGAACUGCAUUCGAUACUAGGCAUCUUGAGUAUGGUAGAGGGAAGUGGAAUUUCCGGAGUAGCGGUGAAAUGCGUAGAUAUCGGAAGGAACACCAGUGGCGAAGGCGACUUCCUGGGCCAAUACUGACACUGAGGCGCGAAAGCGUGGGGAGCAAACA